Oncorhynchus keta (chum salmon) is the source of this 3135-nucleotide RNA transcript. RefSeq lists it as uncharacterized. The transcript has 7 exons. The record is from RefSeq and is a predicted model, not a curated record. NCBI's taxonomy places the organism in Eukaryota, Metazoa, Chordata, Actinopteri, Salmoniformes, Salmonidae.
CCCCACAGCUCUGACCUUCAUCCUGUCAGCUCUAUGGCAUGGAGUUUACCCCGGAUACUACUUCACCUUUAUUACUGCUAUACCCAUCACACUGGCAGCUAGAGCUGUCCGUAAGAACGUCCGGCAGUAUUUCCUGUCCUCUCAUCCUGUGAAGCUUGUCUAUGACGUAGUGACCUGGGCAGCUACUCAGCUGUGUGUCUGCUACACCGUCAUGCCCUUCCUACUGCUGGCAGUAGAACCUACCAUGCAGUACUACAGGUCAAUGUACUUCCACAUUCACAUCAUCAGUAUUCUGACUGUGAUUGUACUGAGCCAGAGCCACAAACCAAGAGGCAGUAGCAGCAGCAGCAGCAACGGCACCAAGCCUGGACCGUAUGAUCCUCAUCCCCAGGCCCAGCCUCAGCUCCAGCCUCAGCUCCAGCCUCAGCUCCAGCCUCAGCUCCAGCCUCAGCUCCAGCCCUCCAACAACAACGUGAAAAGAAAGUGAAGUGUCCCUCUGUGUGUGGAGGCAGCCAGAGACCUGAAUGGGCCCACUGGGUCAGACAAAGACAUCUCUGUGUGUCCACAACAAAGAGAGAGCUCAGCGGGGCUCAGAGGGGCCGAGGGACUGUGCCUGCUGGCCGGUCGGCCUUGCCACCCUGUACAUCCAACACUUCUACUGCCAGGCUCCUAAAAGGCCUCUCUCUGCCCUGCUUGCCAAUUCUCUGUUCUGUCUUUCCAAGUGUGCACUUGUUCACUUCCCUUCAUGGAUCUGAAAGGAAAGGACUGGCAUACGAUCUCCCUCUAGUCCAGCCCAUAAACUCACCAAUACAACACUUCUCAUUCAAUGUGUGGGAAGCUGUGCACAACUGAGAAAGUAUACUUCAGGAGAAAGAUCUGAGAAUUGGGCUCAGACAGACAGGCAAACAGGCAAACAGGCAGACAGGCAGACAGACAGACAGACAGACAGACGGACGGGCGGACGGGCGGACGGGCGGACGGACGGGCGGACGGGCGGACGGGCAGGCGGACAGACGGACAGACGGACAGACGGACAGACAGGCAAACAGGCGGACAGACGGACAGACGGACGGGCGGACAGACAGACAGACAGGCGGACAGACGGACAGACAGAGAGAGACGGACAGACAGACGGACAGGUCCUAGAAUUAGAUGUGGCUGGCCCAUUUCUUUUACAUCUUACAUCACCAGUUGUAGAUAUCAUGUCAAACCCUUACGGGUUAGUGAGAUAUUAAUGGUGUCUGUUUAUUGUUGUAUGAAUGCAGGAAACAUUAUCCCUCAGGAUGGCAGGUAGCCUCGAGGUUAGAGUGUUGGGCCAGUAACAGAGAUGUAAAAUCUGUCACUGUGCCCUUGAGCAAGGCACUUUAAACCUAAUUGCUCCAGGGGCUCUGUACAAUGGUGACCCUGACCGUGACCCCACUCCCUGCAGGUGUCUCGGGGGAGUUGGGAUAUGGUGACCCUGACCGUGACCCCACACCCUGCAGGUGUCUCAGGGGGAGUUGGGAUAUGGUGACCCUGACCGUGACCCCACUCCCUGCAGCUGUCUCAAGGGGGAGUUGGGAUAUGGUGACCCUGACCGUGACCCCACUCCCUGCAGGUGUCUCGGGGGAGUUGGGAUAUGGUGACCCUGACCGUGACCCCACUCCCUGCAGGUGUCUCGGGGGAGUUGGGAUAUGGUGACCCUGACCGUGACCCCACUCCCUGCAGGUGUCUCAGGGAGAGUUGGGAUAUGGUGACCCUGACCGUGACCCCACUCCCUGCAGGUGUCUCAGGGGGAGUUGGGAUAUGGUGACCCUGACCGUGACCCCACUCCCUGCAGGUGUCUCGGGGGAGUUGGGAUAUGGUGACCCUGACCGUGACCCCACUCCCUGCAGGUGUCUCAGGGAGAGUUGGGAUAUGGUGACCGUGACCCCACUCCCUGCAGGUGUCUCGGGGGAGUUGGGAUAUGGUGACCCUGACCGUGACCCCACUCCCUGCAGGUGUCUCGGGGGAGUUGGGAUAUGGUGAUCCUGACCGUGACCCCACUCCCUGCAGGUGUCUCGGGGGAGUUGGGAUAUGGUGACCCUGACCGUGACCCCACUCCCUGCAGGUGUCUCGGGGAGUUGGGAUAUGCAAGAAAUACACUUGUGUGUGACAGGACAAAUAUAAGCCCCGCCCCACAAUCUUUUUGAAUUAUUUGUCCCAAAUGGCACUCUAUUCCCUUUAUAGUCCAGAUGGGUCCUGGUCCAGAUGGGUCCUGGUCCAGAUGGGUCCAGAUGGGUCCUGGUCCAGAUGGGUCCUGGUCCAGAUGGGUCCCGGUCCAGAUGGGUUCCGGUCCAGAUGGGUUCCGGUCCAGAUGGGUCCUGGUCCAGAUGGGUCCAGAUGGGUCCUGGUCCAGAUGGGUCCUGGUCCAGAUGGGUCCAGAUGGGUUCUGGUCCAGAUGGGUCCUGGUCCAGAUGGGUUCUGGUCCAGAUGGGUUCUGGUCCAGAUGGGUCCAGAUGGGUCCUGGUCCAGAUGGGUCCAGAUGGGUUCUGGUCCAGAUGGGUCCUGGUCCAGAUGGGUUCUGGUCCAGAUGGGUUCUGGUCCAAAGCAGUGUAGUGUAUAGAGAAUAGGUGCCAUUCAGAACAUAGUUAUGAGGCUCUAGUUCGGAGCUGUUUGGAUCGUUUUUAACACUGGAUGCUGUACAUCAGGUCUCCUAAUAUUCAUUUCAUGUGUCUCUAUGUAUAUAAGAGGAUGGACAAGUUUACUUUUAUUGGGCAAGAACUUGAGAUUUCAUUAAUUUGUCAGUUAAAAAAAAAAAUGUAAAUGUUGUAUUAACUUUAGAGUCUUACAGUCUCAGAUGAGGUGCAGGAAGCACCAAUGACUUCUGAAGGAAAGUGUUUGGGUUCUGUCCCGAAUGGCACCCUAUUGCCUGUGUAGUGCACUACCUUUUAAAACAGGGCCUUAUGGGGACGCAGACGUUGACUUUGUUUCAGGGGAUGAUGUGGAAGUCUUCUAUGCCUCAGAAGAAGGUCCAAGAUCUUCACACUACAAGAUCUUCAACAUUUCAAGUCCUGAAGCAGCUGAACCACUAAUGAUGCUAAUAUGAAGAGUGUCUGGACACUACACAUUACACACACUACACACACACUACACACACACACACACACAUACACA